This 69-nucleotide transfer RNA is filed under the name Neodon namchabarwaensis. RNAcentral describes it as "Neodon sp. na XW-2022 tRNA-Thr". The record is from RNAcentral. Lineage: Eukaryota; Metazoa; Chordata; Mammalia; Rodentia; Cricetidae.
GUCCUGGUAGUAUAAAUAUUACCCUGGUCUUGUAAACCAGUAAUGAAAACCCCCCAUUUUCCCAGGAUA